UCCAGACUCCUACGGGAGGCAGCAGUGGGGAAUAUUGCACAAUGGGGGAAACCCUGAUGCAGCGACGCCGCGUGAGCGAAGAAGUAUUUCGGUAUGUAAAGCUCUAUCAGCAGGGAAGAAAAAUGACGGUACCUGAGUAAGAAGCACCGGCUAAAUACGUGCCAGCAGCCGCGGUAAUACGUAUGGUGCAAGCGUUAUCCGGAUUUACUGGGUGUAAAGGGAGCGCAGGCGGUGCGGCAAGUCUGAUGUGAAAGCCCGGGGCUCAACCCCGGGACUGCAUUGGAAACUACCGAACUAGAGUGUCGGAGAGGUAAGUGGAAUUCCUAGUGUAGCGGUGAAAUGCGUAGAUAUUAGGAGGAACACCAGUGGCGAAGGCGGCUUACUGGACGAUGACUGACGCUGAGGCUCGAAAGCGUGGGGAGCAAACAGGAUUAGAUACCCCUGUAAGG
This 449-nucleotide ribosomal RNA is filed under the name uncultured bacterium. RNAcentral's name for it is "bacterial SSU rRNA". It matches the Rfam family "Bacterial small subunit ribosomal RNA", at positions 330 to 794 of the family's 1533-position model. The record is from RNAcentral.